RNAcentral lists this ribosomal RNA (455 nucleotides) under Mycale grandis. Its description in RNAcentral is "SSU rRNA". It matches the Rfam family "Eukaryotic small subunit ribosomal RNA", at positions 420 to 883 of the family's 1831-position model. Lineage: Eukaryota; Metazoa; Porifera; Demospongiae; Poecilosclerida; Mycalidae. The record is from RNAcentral.
GGAAGGCAGCAGGCGCGCACAUUACCCAAUCCCGACUCGGGGAGGUAGUGACAAUAAAUAACAAUGCUGGGCUAUCGUAGUCCGGCAAUUGGAAUGAGAACAAUUUAAAUCCCUUAACGAGGAACAAUUGGAGGGCAAGUCUGGUGCCAGCAGCCGCGGUAAUUCCAGCUCCAAUAGCGUAUAUUAAAGUUGUUGCAGUUAAAAAGCUCGUAGUUGGAUUUCGGGGCGGCCCGACUGGUCCGCCGCGAGGUGAGCACUGGUCGGCCGCCCUUCCUCUCGGAAGCCCCGACUGCUCUUCGCUGCAGUGGUCGGGGAGUUCGGGACGUUUACUUUGAAAAAAUUAGAGUGUUCAAGGCAGGCCGUCGCCUGAAUACAUUAGCAUGGAAUAAUGGAAGAGGACCUCGGUCCCGUUUUGUUGGUUUCUUGGACCGAAGUAAUGAUUAAGAGGGACAGUU